UCUGGUGCCAGCAGCCGCGGUAAUUCCAGCUCCAAUAGCGUAUAUUAAAGUUGUUGCGGUUAAAAAGCUCGUAKUUGAAUCUGUGUGUCACGAUGCUGGUUCACCGCUCGCGGUGUUUAACUAGCAUGCCGUGAGACGUCCUACCGGUGGGCUUAGCUCUUCACGGGGCGGUCCAACUAAUAUCCCAUCGCGGYGCUCUUCAUUGAGUGUCGAGGUGGGCCGGUACGUUUACUUUGAACAAAUUAGAGUGCUUAAAGCAGGCUAUUUUCGCCUGAAUACUGUGUGCAUGGAAUAAUGGAAUAGGACCUCGGUUCUAUUUUGUUGGNNNNNNNNNNNNNNNNNNNNNNNNNNAGGGACAGAUGGGGGCAUUCGUAUUGCGACGUUAGAGGUGAAAUUCUUGGAUCGUCGCAAGACGGACAGAAGCGAAAGCAUUUGCCAAAAAUGUUUUCAUUAAUCAAGAACGAAAGUUAGAGGUUCGAAGGCGAUCAGAUACCGCCCUAGUUCUAACCAUAAACGAUGCCAGCUAGCGAUCCGCCGAAGUUCCUCCGAUGACUCGGCGGGCAGCUUCCGGGAAACCAAAGCUUUUGGGUUCCGGGGGAAGUAUGGUUGCAAAGCUGAAACUUAAAGGAAUUGACGGAAGGGCACCACCAGGAGUGGAGCCUGCGGCUUAAUUUGACUCAACACGGGAAACCUCACCAGGCCCGGACACCGGAAGGAUUGACAGAUUGAUAGCUCUUUCUUGAUUCGGUGGGUGG
This 755-nucleotide ribosomal RNA is filed under the name Pachysomoides sp. BFS-2018. RNAcentral describes it as "partial 18S small subunit ribosomal RNA". It matches the Rfam family "Eukaryotic small subunit ribosomal RNA", at positions 562 to 1288 of the family's 1831-position model. Lineage: Eukaryota; Metazoa; Arthropoda; Insecta; Hymenoptera; Ichneumonidae. The record is from RNAcentral.